This 459-nucleotide ribosomal RNA is filed under the name uncultured bacterium. RNAcentral's name for it is "partial 16S ribosomal RNA". It matches the Rfam family "Bacterial small subunit ribosomal RNA", at positions 338 to 795 of the family's 1533-position model. The record is from RNAcentral.
CCUACGGGAGGCAGCAGUGAGGAAUAUUGGUCAAUGGGCGAGAGCCUGAACCAGCCAAGUCGCGUGAAGGAUGACGGCCCUACGGGUUGUAAACUUCUUUUGUCAGGGAGCAAUUGAGUCCACGUGUGGCGCUUUGCGAGUACCUGAAGAAAAAGCAUCGGCUAACUCCGUGCCAGCAGCCGCGGUAAUACGGAGGAUGCGAGCGUUAUCCGGAUUUAUUGGGUUUAAAGGGUGCGUAGGCGGAAUAUCAAGUCAGCGGUAAAAAUUCGGGGCUCAACCCCGUCGUGCCGUUGAAACUGAGGUGCUUGAGUGGGCGAGAAGUAUGCGGAAUGCGUGGUGUAGCGGUGAAAUGCGUAGAUAUCACGCAGAACUCCGAUUGCGAAGGCAGCAUACCGGCGCCCAACUGACGCUGAGGCACGAAAGCGUGGGUAUCGAACAGGAUUAGAUACCCGAGUAGUC